This 252-nucleotide unclassified non-coding RNA is filed under the name uncultured fungus. RNAcentral describes it as "partial contains small subunit ribosomal RNA, internal transcribed spacer 1, and 5.8S ribosomal RNA". The stretch from base 1 to 73 matches the Rfam family "Eukaryotic small subunit ribosomal RNA", at positions 1759 to 1831 of the family's 1831-position model. The record is from RNAcentral. Lineage: Eukaryota; Fungi.
GCAAACUUGGUCAUUUAGAGGAAGUAAAAGUCGUAACAAGGUUUCCGUAGGUGAACCUGCGGAAGGAUCAUUAACAAAUCCGGGUGGUGGGUGCGUGGACGGUGCAUGCCUGACACGCACCCCAUGCCUGUUCCGUGUGCACGCCGUGUACACUGUGACAUUUCUGCGCGUUGUCUGAUUGGUUGGUUGCGAAUGCAAGGAACGACUUUUAACAAUGGAUCUCUAGGCUCCUGCAUCGAUGAAGAACGCAGC